Molecule: ribosomal RNA, 381 nt
Filed under: uncultured Acholeplasma sp.
Lineage: Bacteria; Bacillati; Mycoplasmatota; Mollicutes; Acholeplasmatales; Acholeplasmataceae
Description: bacterial SSU rRNA
Rfam family: Bacterial small subunit ribosomal RNA
Source: RNAcentral
UGCUUUAGAGGAUAAAGCGGAGGUAUUCGGGGAGACAGGUGGUGCAUGGUUGUCGUCAGCUCGUGUCGUGAGAUGUUGGGUUAAGUCCCGCAACGAGCGCAACCCUACUUGCUAGUUACCAUCAUUAAGUUGGGGACUCUAGCGAGACUGCCAGUGAUAAACUGGAGGAAGGUGGGGAUGACGUCAAAUCAUCAUGCCCCUUAUGACCUGGGCUACAAACGUGAUACAAUGGCUGGAACAAAGGGAUGCGAAGCAGUGAUGUGGAGCGAAACCCAUAAAAACAGUCUCAGUUCGGAUUGAAGUCUGCAACUCGACUUCAUGAAGUCGGAAUCGCUAGUAAUCGCGGAUCAGAACGCCGCGGUGAAUACGUUCUCGGGGUUU